This 338-nucleotide long non-coding RNA is filed under the name Gossypium barbadense (sea-island cotton). RNAcentral's name for it is "long non-coding RNA (GBAR_LNC000778)". The record is from RNAcentral. Lineage: Eukaryota; Viridiplantae; Streptophyta; Magnoliopsida; Malvales; Malvaceae.
CACGCAUACUUAUACAAUAACAUACAACAUAGCAAAAUUAGGUACUUAAACAUUCCUAACAUGUCAUGAUUAUGGCAAUUUCACAUGCAAUAGAUAUCAUAGAUUUUACUCACAUCUUUACCACAUUCAUACUAUAAUCAUUAUAAACUCAUCACAUAAUACCAUAGCACAUGCAUGCAUAAUUAAAUUAGAUUUACAAUCCCAUAAUCAAAAUAGGCCAACACAUAUGGUUAAAGCCAUAUCACAUACUCUAAUAUUUAAACUCUUAUACAUGCCAUAGGCUCAAAGUACUUGAAAUCACUACACCAAUAGCGUUAGCUUGACAGUGUGAUAAUAUC